Molecule: long non-coding RNA, 894 nt
Organism: Populus euphratica (Euphrates poplar)
Lineage: Eukaryota; Viridiplantae; Streptophyta; Magnoliopsida; Malpighiales; Salicaceae
Exons: 3
Source: RefSeq, a predicted model, not a curated record
AAACUCUUGUGGUUGCUUAUAAAAUUGGCAGCUCCUGGUAUUUUUAAUCUAUACCAUACGCUAGUUCUUCUGAUGAGACUGUGCAUCUUCUUAUCGUGCACCACUAUCAGUUGAAGCUGCCAGCAUGAUCUUAACCUUCCUUCCUUGUCGAGGAAAGAACAGAUCAUGUGGCAGUUUCACCUGAAGUUGGCAUCACGAGAAACCCUAAUUUCUUAUUCUAAAUAAACCCUAAUAAUUUCCUCUUGUUAUUCUUUCUUAGAUGGCUAGCUAAUAUUAGGUUUUCCUUGUCCAAUCCCUAGAAAGGAUUUUUGCGUCUCGGUACAGUUCCAUGAUUUCAAGAUCCCUCCUGGUGCUUCGGUGAUUGAGCCCUGAGAGUCCUAUACUUAGCCAGUUGUACGGCACUUGUUAAUUAAUUUGGUACAUAACAUACACACAAACAUACGGGAGAUGUUUAUGCUAAGAUACACGAAGUCUAGCUCCUAUCUUGGUAGUUCAAGUUUGACACCUCGAUCUCUUUUGGUAGAAAUCUCUAUGUGGACAAGAUUCCAUAUGGCUUUCCUUUUUCCAAAGAGUAUCCAAAUAAGCAAAAGCGUCACUAGUUUGAUUCUCCCAACUAUUACCGGAGGUUGCAGUUGUCAUUUCCAUCAAGCACAUUGGGUGGAGGAUCCGCUCAUAAGGCCUUGUUACAUGCCAUUUUAAGGAUGGUCUUGGGAGACAUCAAUGCUAGCUAGACAACGACAAUACAAGAAACUUGUAUUCUUAAAGGGACCCAGGAAUGGCUCGCGUUCAAUUAGUGAAAGAGAGAGCGCUUGAAAAUGUUAGUGAAGUGUACGUAAGAACCUGUGAUGGGAUUGUGUUUUAAAUGGAUAUAUAAAGCUUGUAUGUAUUCUGGUU